UGGAGCUCUGUAGAUGGCGCUGG
RNAcentral lists this microRNA (23 nucleotides) under Pteropus alecto (black flying fox). RNAcentral describes it as "pal-miR-458-3p". Its record names the gene pal-miR-458-3p. Lineage: Eukaryota; Metazoa; Chordata; Mammalia; Chiroptera; Pteropodidae. The record is from miRBase by way of RNAcentral.